Molecule: ribosomal RNA, 458 nt
Filed under: uncultured bacterium
Lineage: Bacteria
Description: partial 16S ribosomal RNA
Rfam family: Bacterial small subunit ribosomal RNA
Source: RNAcentral
CCUACGGGAGGCAGCAGUGAGGAAUAUUGGUCAAUGGGCGAGAGCCUGAACCAGCCAAGUCGCGUGAGGGAGUACUGCCCUAUGGGUUGUAAACCUCUUUUGUCGGGGAGCAAAAGCCGGACGUGUCCGGCUGUGAGAGUACCCGAAGAAAAAGCAUCGGCUACCUCCGUGCCAGCAGCCGCGGUAAUACGGAGGAUGCGAGCCUUAUACGGAUUUCUUGGGUGUAAAGGGUGCGCAGGCGGAGUUUUAAGUCAGCGGUAAAAUCGUGGGGCUCAACCACAUCCAGCCGUGGAAACUGGGGAUGUAGAGUGUGCGAGAGGUAUGCGGAAUGCGGGGUGUAGCGGUGAAAUGAAUAGAUAUCAGGAGGAACACCGGUGGCGAAGGCGGCCUGCUGGACUGCAACUGACGUUGAGGCCCGAAAGCGUGGGGAGCAAACAGGAUGAGAUACCCCAGUAGUC